Magnolia sinica is the source of this 109-nucleotide small nucleolar RNA. Lineage: Eukaryota; Viridiplantae; Streptophyta; Magnoliopsida; Magnoliales; Magnoliaceae. The record is from RefSeq and is a predicted model, not a curated record.
UAGCCAUGAUGUAGACAUGAAUUCGUGAGGUCCUUAAACCUCUCCCAGCAUUGGAAGAAGGUUUCUUCCGCUUUUUGGGUAAAGUUCAUGAUUGCCUUUCUUAAAGUGU